CCUACGGGAGGCUGCAGUGAGGAAUAUUGGUCAAUGGGCGCGAGCCUGAACCAGCCAAGUCGCGUGAGGGAAGACGGUCCUAUGGAUUGUAAACCUCUUUUGUCGGGGAGCAAAAGACGCCACGCGUGGCGUUCCGAGCGUACCCGAAGAAAAAGCAUCGGCUAACUCCGUGCCAGCAGCCGCGGUACUACGGAGGAUGUUAUCGUUAUCCGGAUUUAUUGGGUUUAACGGGUGCGCAGGCGGAAGAUCAAGUUAGCGGGAAAAUUGUGGGGCUCAACCCCAUCCAGCCGUUGAAACUGGGGAUAUAGAGUGUGCGAGAGGUAUGUGGAAUGCGGGGUGUAGCGGUGAAAUGCAUAGAUAUCACGCAGAACCCCGAUUGCGAAGGCAGCAUACCGGUGCACAACUGACGCUCAGGCACGAAAGCGUGGGUAUCGAACAGGAUUAGAUACCCGAGUAGUC
RNAcentral lists this ribosomal RNA (459 nucleotides) under uncultured bacterium. RNAcentral describes it as "partial 16S ribosomal RNA". It matches the Rfam family "Bacterial small subunit ribosomal RNA", at positions 338 to 795 of the family's 1533-position model. The record is from RNAcentral.